CGGACGGGUGAGUAACACGUGGAUAACCUACCUAUAAGACUGGGAUAACUUCGGGAAACCGGAGCUAAUACCGGAUAAUAUUUUGAACCGCAUGGUUCAAAAGUAAAAGACGGUCUUGCUGUCACUUAUAGAUGGAUCCGCGCUGCAUUAGCUAGUUGGUAAGGUAACGGCUUACCAAGGCAACGAUGCAUAGCCGACCUGAGAGGGUGAUCGGCCACACUGGAACUGAGACACGGUCAAG
This 241-nucleotide ribosomal RNA is filed under the name uncultured Staphylococcus sp. RNAcentral describes it as "partial 16S ribosomal RNA". It matches the Rfam family "Bacterial small subunit ribosomal RNA", at positions 99 to 334 of the family's 1533-position model. The record is from RNAcentral. Lineage: Bacteria; Bacillati; Bacillota; Bacilli; Caryophanales; Staphylococcaceae.